Molecule: ribosomal RNA, 112 nt
Filed under: Celoporthe dispersa
Lineage: Eukaryota; Fungi; Ascomycota; Sordariomycetes; Diaporthales; Cryphonectriaceae
Description: 5.8S ribosomal RNA
Rfam family: 5.8S ribosomal RNA
About the family: 5.8S ribosomal RNA (5.8S rRNA) is a component of the large subunit of the eukaryotic ribosome. It is transcribed by RNA polymerase I as part of the 45S precursor that also contains 18S and 28S rRNA.
Source: RNAcentral
AAACUUUCAACAACGGAUCUCUUGGUUCUGGCAUCGAUGAAGAACGCAGCGAAAUGCGAUAAGUAAUGUGAAUUGCAGAAUUCAGUGAAUCAUCGAAUCUUUGAACGCACAU